This 253-nucleotide ribosomal RNA is filed under the name uncultured bacterium. RNAcentral describes it as "partial 16S ribosomal RNA". It matches the Rfam family "Bacterial small subunit ribosomal RNA", at positions 524 to 776 of the family's 1533-position model. The record is from RNAcentral.
UACGGGGGGGGCAAGCGUUGUUCGGAAUUACUGGGCGUAAAGGGCUGGUAGGCGGCCAACUAAGUCCGACGUGAAAUCCCAAGGCUUAACCUUGGAACUGCGUCGGAUACUGGAUGGCUUGAAUUCGGGAGAGGGAUGCGGAAUUCCUGGUGUAGCGGUGAAAUGCGCAGAUAUCAGGAGGAACACCAAUGGCGAAGGCAGCUCGCUGGGACGGUACUGACGCUGAGACGCGAAAGCGUGGGGAGCAAACAGG